GGUUGUUUGUAGCUCCAGAUGAUCUAUGGCAGUGUGAAAAAGUCGGAAAUCCAAAUGUUUGAUAGGGAUUGGGAGUGUCUGAAAGGCAUAAAAGAACUUUAUGAAGCAGGUUCAUCUUAACUGAGAUGACCAAUCCCAAUCAGGACACCCAUGGGUUUCUCCACUGGAGAAUAUUAAAGUGUGCUGCUUGUAGAAGAGAAGUGUAGUUGAUGUUGUAAAAAGAAGAGAGAGCUAUGGGGAUAUUAAUCCCUAAUUAUUUGAUGGGAGUCUGCGAUCUG
Non-coding RNA from Pelobates cultripes (western spadefoot toad), 278 nucleotides. The record is from the annotation of a GenBank genome assembly. Lineage: Eukaryota; Metazoa; Chordata; Amphibia; Anura; Pelobatidae.